GGUAGAUUUUGCAAGGAAAAGGGAUGGGCACAACAUAUUGGAUCCCGUAUGUUGUCUCCUUCCUCUGGACUAGCAACAUAUCUUACUCCUUUGUGUAUGUUCCUUGGUUUUGUUCCAACGAGGAGAGCAAAAUCAUGGCAAUGAGGGGGGCUUGAAGUUUCGGCUGAGAGUCACAUCCUGCAGAGUGGUGACAGCCCGAUUGCGAGACGCUCUCUGUCAAAACAGCGACUCCUGCAAUGGAAAUGGUGGUGCCCGCCACCGGAUACCAAUUUGUGCUUAGGAUACAGGCUUCAGAUGGCAUUGGUAUGCCUGGUACCAGUGAAGCACGGCUGCCUCUGCCUGCCCUACCGCUCCAAACCUUCUGGCAGGCCACUCGACGAGUUCUACAAUGUCCCUGCACCAUGCGCUGUUGAUCCGACGAAGAAGAUUCAAGUUUAUAGCACCACUGGCCGUCCAUAUGCAGAAUGAGGAGUUGAGCAAUUUGCCCGUUGUGGAGUUGAUACUAUCGUACUACGGCUGAUGAAGCUAUAGGUUUUGUGGACUUAUUGGUCUCACUUCUGAAUCCUCUGAAAUGUUUGGCUCAUAAGAGAAAAUUUUCUUCCUUCUCUGUUAAUAUUGGAAAUGCAAGUGCUUCGCUGCAUAUUAAUUUCCAGUGAGCCUAUGAACUUCAGUUUAGACAGAUGUAUGCUCAGUAACACACGCCAAACUGAAGGGGUAAAUUAGUGUCUUGCACUUGCAUAACACCAGGAGCAACAACAAAGUACAACAAGGGGGAGUAGUAUCAGUGUAUAUAUUUGAAAAUUGCAAUAAUGUCGGUGAUGUGUGCUGUUUGGGUUCUUCGUGGUGCCUCCUACAAGCAGGGGAGGGUGCCGACCUUCGUUAGCGCGUCAUCGCUACACGGCUACCUCUGGCCAUCGGCACGUCGCUGCCAGCUUUGGGCGGUACAAGGAGCGACGGGAGUCCAGGUGACAAGAACAGCAUCGCGCAGGCUAACCACCGGCAUCCAGUUGUGACGAGGACAAAAGGCAUAUUCGUGAAUUUUACAGGGGAGUCAAGCAUAUCAAAUGCAUGUUUACAUACAUGGAUUCUAUACGAUACCGCCGGUAGUUGAGUCACUCCUGGAUGUUUUGAAGUCUUCUGAGAAACCUCAGCAUACUAUGGCACCAGAGCUUCCAUUGAUUUUACUACUUCUCCUAUCUAGUAAAGUCAAUGUUAUGUGUUCACCAUGUAUGUCCUGCUGAAUGAAGCUUCCGUGUGUUAUUUCAGUUUGCCAGCUACUUUCAUUAAGCCAUUCUAGCAAUGGCGUUGUUAGUAGUAGUAGCCCACAGCCACCAGAAAUAUGGAAAGUAGAUUUAGUAUCCA
Molecule: long non-coding RNA, 1362 nt
Organism: Lolium perenne
Lineage: Eukaryota; Viridiplantae; Streptophyta; Magnoliopsida; Poales; Poaceae
Source: RefSeq, a predicted model, not a curated record